CCAUUUAAAAAUGCUGAGAUUCGCCUCUUCCUUCUCCAGCAAAUCCUGAACUCCGUUUACCACCUCCUGCAAUUCCUAGACAUGAGGAAGUUGGAAGAAUACUCAGUAUCUGGAACACAAAGCAAGCACUUGAUAUUUGUUGAAUUCCUUUCCUGAGGGAUAUCUGGAGCACGAGGAUGCAAACAAGACACACAACCUAUUUAAAGUCUCUGUUCUCCUCACACCUCGCCAACAUUUUGAAAACCAGUGCAGGUCACAUGGAUAAGCCUAACAUCCAUGGGGGGUGGGACCUGAGGUUAUUCACACUGAGGCAGCUCAGCCCCUGCUCAGCUCCCGUGCCACAGGGAGGGCAGGAAUCCUGCCAGGAGGAGCACUUGGGUCCUCGCUCCUACCCACCCCUGGUGGACGCCAGCUGCCUGCACUGCCCGCAGAGGUGAGCCUGGUCCCCGCCCAGGAGAAUGAUGGGUUAAAAACCUAUAGGACGGUUCAAUCCAAGGCAUUGCUUUGCUGUGGCCUGUGCGCCAUUGUAUGUUGGAACACAUGCUGCUAGGAGACAAAGAGGACACACGUUUAUUUUCAAGCGUAGGACUUCGGAACCACUUGGGAAGAAUAUUCUUGAUUGAGAACCAAAACAUUCCAUGAUGCUUAACAAACCUGCAAAUUGAAAAAUCAGCAUCGGCCCGUGCAGCCCGGAGGCAGGAGAAGGACCUAUAUACCCUGAAACAUUUUUUUUUUUCUCUCCAAAUAUUCCUUAAAUGAUAUUUGUGUGCAUUUGCAAAAUUACUGCUUUCUGAAUCAAAGUGGCAAGCUAUUUGCCUCUGAGAACAUGUGUUGUGCCGUCAGACAAUACCUCAGCCCUGGGCCGCCCGCGACAUACCCGGCCGCAUCACAUAAUGGACAGUCCUGCGAAGGCGCCGCAGCUCAGUCAAUGCCUCUGUAAUAAUAUUUUAAAAUAAAUGAUAUGCAUCAUUAAAUCACCGAGGAUGACUAACUCAAUUUUAGAAAACCCACAACUCCAGCAAUCAUAGUUACAGCUCUGAUUUGAAUAUUUUCCCUUUCACCUGAGCAGCCAGUGGGAGCCAGCCGAGCAGGCAGGCAACCCGGCUGUACUCUCAGAGGGGCAGGAAGGAACCUGUGAUUAUGUAGUUACAGUAACGUCGGCGAGAAGCCUCCUGUCCGCCUGGGCUUUUUAGGCUUCUCCUUCCUCCCUUCUUGACUUCUUAUUUACAUAUCACAGGCAUCCUCUUUGUAAAGUUAUUUUAAAUAAUUUAUUAGAUUGAUCUUUUUAAAAUUCUACCCUGGCUAAAUGUCAUAAGGAAGAAGAAGGAAAAAAAAAAAAAGUCUUCGAAACUUAUUUAAAGGUUUCUACUGGAGCAGGCCGGUUACCUGCUUCACUGCUGAUAUUCUAAAAAUACCUCCAUGUCCGUACUAUUAUCCAUUCUUCACGUCCAAUUGCUCUGUUAUGGUAAUAGUCAGAAGCACACCAUGCAGUAAUUACUUACAGCUGACUGGAGAAAAGAAUAUUCAACUCCCCCACUGUUCCACUAGAAGGUCUUUAUGCACUAUUAACUCAUUCCUGUUUAUUAAUACUCUACUGGUA
Long non-coding RNA from Myotis myotis, 1600 nucleotides. RefSeq lists it as uncharacterized. Lineage: Eukaryota; Metazoa; Chordata; Mammalia; Chiroptera; Vespertilionidae. The record is from RefSeq and is a predicted model, not a curated record. The transcript has 3 exons.